ACGGUGGCGCAGUGGGUAGCGCUGUUGCCUUGCCUUGCAGCAAGAAGGUUCUGGGUUUGAUUCCCGGCCUAGGUU
Ataeniobius toweri is the source of this 75-nucleotide non-coding RNA. The record is from the annotation of a GenBank genome assembly. NCBI's taxonomy places the organism in Eukaryota, Metazoa, Chordata, Actinopteri, Cyprinodontiformes, Goodeidae.